This 420-nucleotide ribosomal RNA is filed under the name uncultured bacterium. RNAcentral's name for it is "bacterial SSU rRNA". It matches the Rfam family "Bacterial small subunit ribosomal RNA", at positions 356 to 773 of the family's 1533-position model. The record is from RNAcentral.
AAGGAAUAUUGGUCAAUGGACGCAAGUCUGAACCAGCCAUGCCGCGUGAAGGAUGAAGGUCCUCUGGAUUGUAAACUUCUUUUAUCUGGGACGAAACACUUCUUUUCUAAGGAGCCUGACGGUACCAGAGGAAUAAGCACCGGCUAACUCCGUGCCAGCAGCCGCGGUAAUACGGAGGGUGCAAGCGUUAUCCGGAUUCACUGGGUUUAAAGGGUGCGUAGGUGGGUAUGUAAGUCAGAGGUGAAAUCCCCGAGCUUAACUUGGGAACUGCCUUUGAUACUAUAUAUCUUGAAUAUCGUAGAGGUUAGCGGAAUAUGUCAUGUAGCGGUGAAAUGCUUAGAUAUGACAUAGAACACCAAUUGCGAAGGCAGCUAGCUAUGCGAAAAUUGACACUGAGGCACGAAAGCGUGGGUAGCAAAC